RNAcentral lists this long non-coding RNA (1111 nucleotides) under Olea europaea subsp. europaea. Lineage: Eukaryota; Viridiplantae; Streptophyta; Magnoliopsida; Lamiales; Oleaceae. The record is from RNAcentral.
UCUCUCAUAUUGAAAAAAGAACGAAGUAUAAAACAACAAUAAUUAAAAUAAGGGUUAAGCUUUACAUGCAAAUAUACUUACAUGAAAAUCAGCAAAAAGAGUAUCCUCAACAAAUUUAACCCAGAUUUCUUCAGAGUUGACAUUCUUUGGUCUAAGAAGGGUAAUAGUGCAUGCUCUAUUCACAGGUGAUUCAACUUGAGUUCUAAUUUGUUUUCUAAAUCUUGAUUUGAAUGUCCUCCAAUACUUUCUCAUACAUUGAAAUGUCAUUAUUUGAUGACAAUCACUGACAUUGAACCUUUGCUGUAUUUAUGCACAAGCAUGAAUUUAAGACUUUAGAAAAUGGUAUCAUUAAGAAAGAAAUAAAUACAACGUAAUAAUCUCAAAAGGUAGUUAGGAAAUGUUAUCUGUAUGAAAGUCCAGAGCUCCAUUUUUAGUCUCUUCAUUCACUGAAAUCCAAUCUUUAAUUACAACAGGCACAUGUUCUCGUACCAUGGCCCCAACUACGCUAGAAAAUUUUUUCGAGUUCUGCCCAACAACUUGGCCAUAUUCAUUGAAUUCUAGAUUUAUCUUCUGAUAAUUAUGUUCAGGAAUCAUCUUCACUUGUGUUGGACCUCUUUUCUUUUUCGGAGCAUUUACAGUUUUUGGCAACGUGGUUUGCUCAUCAUUAGUUGGACUAGUUAUAGUAUUGUCUUGUUCACUGGAAUUGUUUAGUCUCUUACUUGUCUCCCAAAUUGCAUCAGCAAUUGAAGCCCUUCUUCUUUUAGAACUCUUCGAAGUUUGUUUAGUUGGCUUUGAGAAUACAACAUGGAAACAUAAGUUAAACGCAAUUAUUUUCAAAACUUAGCAUAUAUCUUAUGUAUUAUAAGAAAACACAAUUACCCGAGUCUUGUCCAUCGUACAAAAUGUAUUUCGGAUUGAAAAGAUUCUCUAGAGCUCGAAUAAAAACCUACAACAUCAAAACAAAUAGAUGUUAUUCAACAUUUCAUCGCAAUAUGACUGGAUAGAUAAAUCACAUGUCAAAAUAUUCUAAAAAAAUUGAUCAUUAUGUAAAAAGUAUGUUGUCUACAAAAAAGGGAGUUACCAAAAUACUUUACGUAUCACACAGUACGCC